RNAcentral lists this ribosomal RNA (61 nucleotides) under Escherichia coli 7-233-03_S3_C2. Lineage: Bacteria; Pseudomonadati; Pseudomonadota; Gammaproteobacteria; Enterobacterales; Enterobacteriaceae. The record is from RNAcentral.
AACGCCGUAGCGCCGAUGGUAGUGUGGGGUCUCCCCAUGCGAGAGUAGGGAACUGCCAGGC